This 330-nucleotide ribosomal RNA is filed under the name uncultured Actinomycetes bacterium. RNAcentral's name for it is "bacterial SSU rRNA". It matches the Rfam family "Bacterial small subunit ribosomal RNA", at positions 28 to 351 of the family's 1533-position model. The record is from RNAcentral. Lineage: Bacteria; Bacillati; Actinomycetota; Actinomycetes.
GACGAACGCUGGCGGCGUGCUUAACACAUGCAAGUGGAGCGACGAACCAGGCUUCGGCCUGGGGCAAAGCCGCGAACGGGUGAGUAACACGUGGGUAACGUGCCCCAAUGACCGGGACAACCCGAGGAAACUCGGGCUAAUACCGGAUGUGCUGCAGAGUCGUAAGUCUCUGCAAUAAAGGAAGCUUCGGCCUCCGCAUUGGGAGCGGCCCGCGGCCCAUUAGCUUGUUGGUGAGGUAACGGCUCACCAAGGCUGCGAUGGGUAGCUGGUCUGAGAGGACGAUCAGCCACACUGGGACUGAGACACGGCCCAGACUCCUACGGGAGGCUG